This is a long non-coding RNA of Nilaparvata lugens (brown planthopper), 1223 nucleotides long. RefSeq lists it as uncharacterized. The transcript has 2 exons. The record is from RefSeq and is a predicted model, not a curated record. NCBI's taxonomy places the organism in Eukaryota, Metazoa, Arthropoda, Insecta, Hemiptera, Delphacidae.
AAGUGUCAGAGUUUCUUGUAAAUAUAACAACAACAAUAAUGCAUGAAAUCGUUAUUUUUCAUUUCACAAAUUGAAUGACAGUUCACGGGUAACAAUAAAAUAUACAUGCUAGCUUCAUAGUUGCGGUUUUAAUUUUAACAUUGAGUAUAAACUUAUCUAGGACUAUGAAUAAAAAAUCAUAAAUCCAAGUACGGUACCCUUUUGAAAUUGUUCAAUCAUGACAUGUUUCGGCUAUAUCAUAAUGCCAUUAUAUCAAGUCGACUUCUAGGACUUUAUUAAUGAGUUUUCCUCAUCAAUAUUCUUGUAAUUUUUCAUUUAAUUUUCCUUCCAGAUUGACUUUUGUAUCUUUUGGAAUCUUCGAGUUAUCAAUGGAAGCGGUUAAAGAAAAAUAUUUACUCCUAUAGUAAACAUUUGAGCAAUCUUAGUUACUAUUUGAAAUGUUUUGCUGCUUUUUGAUGACACAAUCCAGCUCACUUUUUCUGCUAUCAAAAAGAACUAAUAGCAGCAGAUUUAUCGUUCUUUUUAAUAGCAAAAAGUGAUUUAAUAAAUAUAAUGAGCAAUUCGUGAUGAAAAACGACAUUGAAGAAUUACAAUUCAACUGAUUAUUGUAGCGCUUGCAUGCAGAAUAUUCAGCGGAUGUCAUGCGCAUGCUCAGACCGGCGAGUUCUCAUCUGGAAACAAUUUUCGGCAUUCAGUUGUCAGUUCUGCGCUAAAUGUGAAAAGUGCCGACGGGUGUUGAUGAUUGUGAUAAGAUAAGAGUGUGAUUUGAGCCGAUAUUAUUGUGAAAUUCUUAUCAGGUUAUAUAAAAAUGGCGUAGAAAGUGAAUAAUUGUUUCAAGUGGCGUCUAUCAUCAAGGGAACAAGUGCAUCCUUCCCUCAAGAUGAGCGAGAAUUUUUGUGAGUUUUGUACAAAGUACGGUAACCUAGCUAGUAGAAUAAAUUUCAUUCUAAUAUUAAUUUUGAGCUGUUUUAUCCAUUUUUCGUUAUUAUUCUACAUGACUGGCAUGAUAAAAACACUUUUAAACUCAUGAUUAACUGAUUACUGACUACUAGUGAAACAAAAACAAUUUUAACACAAAAAUCACAUUAAAAAUACAGUACCAAUAGCGUUUAGCCUAUACAAAUAUUUUUAAUACUGAAUAUAGUAGUUUGAAGCUUCGAAGAACAUGUAAAUGUAAUUAUUUUUCUUUUACUACAAUGGAAUAGAUUCAUUCACAUGAUUUA